AUUGAACGCUGGCGGCAGGCCUAACACAUGCAAGUCGAGCGGAUGAAGGGAUCUUGCUCCUGGAUUCAGCGGCGGACGGGUGAGUAAUGCCUAGGAAUCUGCCUGGUAGUGGGGGAUAACGUCCGGAAACUGGCGCUAAUACCGCAUACGUCCUGAGGGAGAAAGUGGGGGAUCUUCGGACCUCACGCUAUCAGCUGAGCCUAGGUCGGAUUAGCUAGUUGGUGGGGUAAAGGCCUACCAAGGCGACGAUCCGUAACUGGUCUGAGAGGAUGAUCAGUCACACUGGAACUGAGACACGGUCCAGACUCCUACGGGAGGCAGCAGUGGGGAAUAUUGGACAAUGGGCGAAAGCCUGAUCCAGCCAUGCCGCGUGUGUGAAGAAGGUCUUCGGAUUGUAAGGCACUUUAAGUUGGGAGGAAGGGCAGUAAGUUAAUACCUGGCUGUUUUGACGUUACCAACAGAAUAAGCACCGGCUAACUUCGUG
This 484-nucleotide ribosomal RNA is filed under the name uncultured bacterium. RNAcentral describes it as "partial 16S ribosomal RNA". It matches the Rfam family "Bacterial small subunit ribosomal RNA", at positions 30 to 507 of the family's 1533-position model. The record is from RNAcentral.